CAUAUCAAUAAGCGGAGGAAAAGAAACCAACAGGGAUUGCCCCAGUAACGGCGAGUGAAGCGGCAACAGCUCAAAUUUGAAAUCUGGCCCCCAGGGUCCGAGUUGUAAUUUGUAGAGGAUGCUUUGGGCGAGGUGCCUUCCGAGUUCCCUGGAACGGGACGCCACAGAGGGUGAGAGCCCCGUAUGGUCGGACACCGAGCCUCUGUAAAGCUCCUUCGACGAGUCGAGUAGUUUGGGAAUGCUGCUCAAAAUGGGAGGUAUAUGUCUUCUAAAGCUAAAUACUGGCCAGAGACCGAUAGCGCACAAGUAGAGUGAUCGAAAGAUGAAAAGCACUUUGAAAAGAGGGUUAAAAAGUACGUGAAAUUGUUGAAAGGGAAGCGCCCAUGACCAGACUUGGGCCCGGUGAAUCAUCCGGCGUUCUCGCCGGUGCACUUUGCCGGGCACAGGCCAGCAUCAGUUUGGGGCGGGGGACAAAGGCUCUGGGAAUGUGGCUCCCUCGGGAGUGUUAUAGCCCACCGCGUAAUACCCUGCGCCGGACUGAGGUACGCGCAUUCGCAAGGAUGCUGGCGUAAUGGUCAUCAGCGACCCGUCUUGAAACACGGACCAAGGAGUCGUCUUCGUAUGCGAGUGUUCGGGUGUCAAACCCCUACGCGGAAUGAAAGUGAACGCAGGUGAGAGCUUCGGCGCAUCAUCGACCGAUCCUGAUGUCUUCGGAUGGAUUUGAGUAAGAGCAUACGGGGCCGGACCCGAAAGAAGGUGAACUAUGCCUGUAUAGGGUGAAGCCAGAGGAAACUCUGGUGGAGGCUCGCAGCGGUUCUGACGUGCGAAUCGAUCGUCAAAUAUGGGCAUGGGGGCGAAAGACUAAUCGAACCUUCUAGUAGCUGGUUU
This 888-nucleotide ribosomal RNA is filed under the name Arachnidicola sulphurea. RNAcentral's name for it is "Akanthomyces sulphureus partial large subunit ribosomal RNA". It matches the Rfam family "Eukaryotic large subunit ribosomal RNA", at positions 39 to 957 of the family's 3401-position model. The record is from RNAcentral. Lineage: Eukaryota; Fungi; Ascomycota; Sordariomycetes; Hypocreales; Cordycipitaceae.